CCUACGGGCGGCUGCAGUGGGGAAUAUUGCACAAUGGGCGCAAGCCUGAUGCAGCCAUGCCGCGUGUGUGAAGAAGGCCUUCGGGUUGUAAAGCACUUUCAGCGGGGAGGAAGGCGGUGAGGUUAAUAACCUCAUCGAUUGACGUUACCCGCAGAAGAAGCACCGGCUAACUCCGUGCCAGCAGCCGCGGUAAUACGGAGGGUGCAAGCGUUAAUCGGAAUUACUGGGCGUGAAGCGCACGCAGGCGGUCUGUCAAGUCGGAUGUGAAAUCCCCGGGCUCAACCUGGGAACUGCAUUCGAAACUGGCAGGCUAGAGUCUUGUAGAGGGGGGUAGAAUUCCAGGUGUAGCGGUGAAAUGCGUAGAGAUCUGGAGGAAUACCGGUGGCGAAGGCGGCCCCCUGGACAAAGACUGACGCUCAGGUGCGAAAGCGUGGGGAGCAAACAGGAUUAGAUACCCCGGUAGUC
This 465-nucleotide ribosomal RNA is filed under the name uncultured Klebsiella sp. Its description in RNAcentral is "bacterial SSU rRNA". It matches the Rfam family "Bacterial small subunit ribosomal RNA", at positions 338 to 795 of the family's 1533-position model. The record is from RNAcentral. Lineage: Bacteria; Pseudomonadati; Pseudomonadota; Gammaproteobacteria; Enterobacterales; Enterobacteriaceae.